ACCAAAGAGGAGAAUACCCUUCUCGUGAGUUUUUGACAUAUCUAAAAGAGAAUAGGAUUCUCUCUUAUUGAAAUCAAGUUUGUUAGACAUAGUUUGAUCCAUGAUGGGGUUUAUAAAUUUGCUAGUCUUGUUUUAGGGUUAUGCUCUUAAGACUGCUUAUUGUGUUCUAAACUGGAUUCCAAAUUAAUAAGUCACAAAGACUCCAUAUUAGAUAUAGACUUGGCAUAAGCCGAUACUUUCUUACCUUAAGAUUUGAGAGUGUUUGUUCUAUAUUAAGCAUUUACAGAUCGAUUAGCUUGGAUCCCAAUCCUAUAUGUGUUAUUUUG
Molecule: long non-coding RNA, 326 nt
Filed under: Elaeis guineensis (African oil palm)
Lineage: Eukaryota; Viridiplantae; Streptophyta; Magnoliopsida; Arecales; Arecaceae
Description: long non-coding RNA (EGUI_LNC060265)
Source: RNAcentral